GUUGUGGAGAGUUUGAUCCUGGCUCAGGAUAAACGCUGGCGGCGUGCUUUACCAAUGCGAGUCGGACGCGCCGCCCCACGGGGCGGUGAGUGGCGGCCGGGUGCGUAACACGUGGGUGACCUGCCCGGGCGUGGGGGAUACCCGCCCGAAAGGGCGGCUAAUACCGCAUGGGGCGCCCCCCGCUGGGGGGGCGGCAAAGCUGGCCCUGUGACGGGGGCAGCGCGCGCGGAGGGGCCCGCGGCCUAUCAGCUGGCCGGUGGGGUAACGGCCCACCGGGGCGAUGACGGGUAGCCGGUCUGAGAGGACGGACGGCCACACUGGGACUGGGACAUGGUCCAGAGCCCUACGGGGUUUAGCAUGGAGGAAUCUUGCGCAACGGCCGCCAAGGCCGGCGCAGCAACGCCGCGUGGGGGAGGAAGGCCCUCGGGUCGUAAACCCCUGUUGCUCGGGAAGAAGUACCGCCGGGGGGAGCCCGGCGGGGAGACGGUACCGGGCGAGGAAGCCCCGGCUAACUACGUGCCAGCAGCCGCGGUAAUACGUAGGGGGCGAGCGUUAUCCGGAUUCAUUGGGCGUAAAGGGCGCGUAGGCGGCCCCCAGCAGUGGCGCGUGGAAUCUCCCCGCUCACCGGGGUGGGGCCGCGCCAGACGGGGGGGCUGGAGGCGGGCAGAGGGCCGCGGAACGGGCGGAGUAGGGGUGAAAUCCGUAGAGACCGCCCGGAACACCGGUGGCGGAGGCGGCGGCCUGGGCCCGUCCUGACGCUGAGGCGCGAAAGCGUGGGGAGCGAACGGAAUUAGAUACUCCGGUAGUCCACGCCCUAAACGAUGGCCACUCGGUGUCGGGGGUAUCGACCCCCCCGGUGCCCCAGCGAACGCGGUAAGUGGCCCGCCUGGGGACUACGGCCGCAAGGCUAAAACUCAAAGGAAUUGACGGGGCCCCGCACAAGCAGCGGAGCGUGUGGAUUAAUUCGAUGCAACGCGCAGAACCUUACCUGGGCUUGACAUGCGCCUGGUAGCGACCCGAAAGGGGAGCGACCCGCGAGGGAGGGCGCGCAGGUGCUGCAUGGCUGUCGUCAGCUCGUGCCGUGAGGUGUUGGGUUAAGUCCCGCAACGAGCGCAACCCCCGCCCCCAGUUGCGGU
This 1136-nucleotide ribosomal RNA is filed under the name Chloroflexota bacterium. RNAcentral's name for it is "bacterial SSU rRNA". It matches the Rfam family "Bacterial small subunit ribosomal RNA", at positions 1 to 1121 of the family's 1533-position model. The record is from RNAcentral. Lineage: Bacteria; Bacillati; Chloroflexota.